AUUGAACGCUGGCGGCAGGCCUAACACAUGCAAGUCGAGCGAGCGGCGGACGGGUGAGAAAUGUCUGGGAAACUGCCUGAUGGAGGGGGAUAACUACUGGAAACGGUAGCUAAUACCGCAUACCAUCAGAAGUGCCCAGAUGGGAUUUGCUAGUAGGUGGGGUAACGGCUCACCUAGGCGACGCUCCCUAGCUGGUCUGAGAGGAUGACCAGCCACACUGGAACUGAGACACGUUCCAGACUCCUACGGGAGGCGGCAGUGGGGACUAUUGCACACUGGGCGCAAGCCUGAUGCAGCCAUGCCGCUUGUGUGAAGAAGGCCUUCGGGUUGUAAAGCACUUUCAGCGGGGAGGCUUUACCCGCAGAAGAAGCACCGGCUAACUCCGUGCCAGCAGCCGCGGUAAUAC
This 406-nucleotide ribosomal RNA is filed under the name uncultured bacterium. RNAcentral's name for it is "partial 16S ribosomal RNA". It matches the Rfam family "Bacterial small subunit ribosomal RNA", at positions 30 to 526 of the family's 1533-position model. The record is from RNAcentral.